This 413-nucleotide ribosomal RNA is filed under the name uncultured bacterium. Its description in RNAcentral is "bacterial SSU rRNA". It matches the Rfam family "Bacterial small subunit ribosomal RNA", at positions 29 to 455 of the family's 1533-position model. The record is from RNAcentral.
AACGAACGCUGGCGGCAGGCCUAACACAUGCAAGUCGAACGCCGUAGCAAUACGGAGUGGCAGACGGGUGAGUAACGCGUGGGAACAUACCCCUCGGUUCGGAAUAACUCAGGGAAACUUGAGCUAAUACCGGAUACGUCCGAGGUUUUAAUCGGCCUUGGAGAAAGAUUUAUCGCCGGAGGAUUGGCCCGCGUCUGAUUAGCUUGUUGGUGAGGUAAUGGCUCACCAAGGCGACGAUCAGUAGCUGGUCUGAGAGGAUGAUCAGCCACAUUGGGACUGAGACACGGCCCAAACUCCUACGGGAGGCAGCAGUGGGGAAUAUUGGACAAUGGGCGAAAGCCUGAUCCAGCCAUGCCGCGUGAGUGAUGAAGGCCUUAGGGUUGUAAAGCUCUUUCAGCGGGGAAGAUAAUGAC